This 209-nucleotide ribosomal RNA is filed under the name uncultured bacterium. Its description in RNAcentral is "partial 16S ribosomal RNA". It matches the Rfam family "Bacterial small subunit ribosomal RNA", at positions 128 to 334 of the family's 1533-position model. The record is from RNAcentral.
GCCUUUCAGAGGGGGAGUAACAUUUGGAAACAAAUGCUAAUACCGCAUAAGAUUACAGUACCGCAUGAUACAGUGAUCAAAGGAGCAAUCCGCUGAAAGAUGGGCUCGCGUCCGAUUAGAUAGUUGGUGAGGUAACGGCUCACCAAGUCGACGAUCGGUAGCCGGACUGAGAGGUUGAACGGCCACAUUGGGACUGAGACACGGCCCAG